RNAcentral lists this ribosomal RNA (465 nucleotides) under uncultured bacterium. RNAcentral describes it as "partial 16S ribosomal RNA". It matches the Rfam family "Bacterial small subunit ribosomal RNA", at positions 338 to 795 of the family's 1533-position model. The record is from RNAcentral.
CCUACGGGAGGCAGCAGUGGGGAAUUUUGGACAAUGGGCGCAAGCCUGAUCCAGCUAUGCCGCGUGUGGGAUGACGGCCCUCGGGUUGUAAACCACUUUUGUAGAGGACGAAAAGGAGCCAUCGAAUAAAUAACUCUGCUGACGGUACCCUAAGAACAACCACCGGCUACAUACGUGCCAGCAGCCGCGGAAAGACGUAGGGUGCGAGCGUUAAUCGGAAUUAUUGGGCGUAAAGGGUGUGCAGGCGGGUGAGUAAGCCAGAUGUGAAAUACCCGGGCUUAACCUGGGAACUGCAUAUGAGACUGCUUGGCUGGAGUGCGUGAGAGGGAGGUGGAAUUCCUGGUGUAGCAGUGAAAUGCGUAGAUAUGAGGAAGAACACCGAUGGCGAAGGCAGCCUCCUGGAACGCAACUGACGCUCAUGCACGAAAGCGUGGGGAGCAAACAGGAUUAGAUACCCUAGUAGUC